AGAGGCCCUAGUUGAUAAGCACGGCGUAAAGGGUGGUUAAGGGAGUACAUAAAUAAAGCCGAAGGGCCCUCUGGCCGUUAUACGCUUCUAGGCGCCCGAAGCCCAAACACGAAAGUAGCUUUAAUUUAGCCCACCUGACCCCACGAAAACUGAGAAACAAACUGGGAUUAGAUACCCCACUAUGCUCAGUCAUAAACCCAAAUGUCAAAUUACAAUAGACAUUCGCCCGGGUACUACGAGCGUCA
This 245-nucleotide ribosomal RNA is filed under the name Catostomus commersonii (white sucker). RNAcentral's name for it is "partial 12S ribosomal RNA". It matches the Rfam family "Bacterial small subunit ribosomal RNA", at positions 534 to 891 of the family's 1533-position model. Lineage: Eukaryota; Metazoa; Chordata; Actinopteri; Cypriniformes; Catostomidae. The record is from RNAcentral.